Molecule: transfer RNA, 72 nt
Filed under: Heliconius melpomene (postman butterfly)
Lineage: Eukaryota; Metazoa; Arthropoda; Insecta; Lepidoptera; Nymphalidae
Description: tRNA HMEL013958
Rfam family: tRNA
About the family: Transfer RNA (tRNA) molecules are approximately 80 nucleotides in length. Their secondary structure includes four short double-helical elements and three loops (D, anti-codon, and T loops). Further hydrogen bonds mediate the characteristic L-shaped molecular structure. tRNAs have two regions of fundamental functional importance: the anti-codon, which is responsible for specific mRNA codon recognition, and the 3' end, to which the tRNAs corresponding amino acid is attached (by aminoacyl-tRNA synthetases). tRNAs cope with the degeneracy of the genetic code in two manners: having more than one tRNA (with a specific anti-codon) for a particular amino acid; and 'wobble' base-pairing, i.e. permitting non-standard base-pairing at the 3rd anti-codon position.
Source: RNAcentral
CAACGUAUGGUUUAGUGGUCAGAGUGCUUGAGCGGGUUCCAAGAGGCGCGGGUUCAGAUUCCGCUAUGUUCA